Molecule: transfer RNA, 74 nt
Filed under: candidate division MSBL1 archaeon SCGC-AAA261F17
Lineage: Archaea; Methanobacteriati; Methanobacteriota
Description: candidate divison MSBL1 archaeon SCGC-AAA261F17 tRNA
Rfam family: tRNA
About the family: Transfer RNA (tRNA) molecules are approximately 80 nucleotides in length. Their secondary structure includes four short double-helical elements and three loops (D, anti-codon, and T loops).
Source: Rfam by way of RNAcentral
GGGCCCGUAGCUCAGGUGGAUAGAGCGGCAGCCUUCUAAGCUGCAAGUCGCGGGUUCGAAUCCCGUCGGGCCCG